This 253-nucleotide ribosomal RNA is filed under the name uncultured bacterium. Its description in RNAcentral is "partial 16S ribosomal RNA". It matches the Rfam family "Bacterial small subunit ribosomal RNA", at positions 524 to 776 of the family's 1533-position model. The record is from RNAcentral.
UACGCAGGGGGCUAGCGUUGUUCGGAAUUACUGGGCGUAAAGCGCACGUAGGCGGGUUUUUAAGUCAGGGGUGAAAUCCCGGAGCUCAACUCCGGAACUGCCUUUGAUACUGGCAAUCUAGAGUUCGGAAGAGGUGAGUGGAAUUCCCAGUGUAGAGGUGAAAUUCGUAGAUAUUGGGAAGAACACCAGUGGCGAAGGCGGCUCACUGGUCCGAUACUGACGCUGAGGUGCGAAAGCGUGGGGAGCAAACAGG